Molecule: long non-coding RNA, 279 nt
Filed under: Pan troglodytes (chimpanzee)
Lineage: Eukaryota; Metazoa; Chordata; Mammalia; Primates; Hominidae
Description: long non-coding RNA NONPTRT014140
Source: RNAcentral
UUACUGUGAAAAUUUAGAAACGUCCCCAUUUACUUUCAAGCACAAAUGAGCAUAAUAUCUACAAACUUGUUUGUGACAUGUUCUCUGUACAUACAUAAUAAAGUUGAUAUUAGAUCCCUGGCCUUAAAUUGAUAACACCUGGUCCUGUUUAUAACUUUCCUUGCCAUUAAACUUUCAAAUCUUUUAGGAAAAUAUUUUCCUGAGUGAUUUCCUGAUAGGGACCCUUUUGUCUCCAUUUCUGAAAUUAACACUUUAAUUUUGGAUCUAAUUCCCUACUCU